RNAcentral lists this ribosomal RNA (200 nucleotides) under uncultured bacterium. RNAcentral's name for it is "partial 16S ribosomal RNA". It matches the Rfam family "Bacterial small subunit ribosomal RNA", at positions 524 to 723 of the family's 1533-position model. The record is from RNAcentral.
UACGGAGGGUCCGAGCGUUAAUCGGAAUUACUGGGCGUAAAGCGCACGCAGGCGGUUUGUUAAGCUAGAUGUGAAAGCCCCGGGCUCAACCUGGGAAUAGCAUUUAGAACUGGCAGACUAGAGUCUUGGAGAGGGGAGUGGAAUUUCUGGUGUAGCGGUGAAAUGCGUAGAUAUCUAGAGGAAUGCCAGAGGCGAAGGCG